UACGAAGGGGGCUAGCGUUGCUCGGAAUUACUGGGCGUAAAGGGCGCGUAGGCGGAUGUUUAAGUCAGUGGUGAAAGCCCAGGGCUCAACCUUGGAACUGCCAUUGAUACUGGACAUCUUGAGUGCGGGAGAGGUGAGUGGAACGCCGAGUGUAGAGGUGAAAUUCGUAGAUAUUCGGCAGAACACCAGUGGCGAAGGCGACUCACUGGCCCGUAACUGACGCUGAUGCGCGAAAGCGUGGGGAGCAAACAGG
RNAcentral lists this ribosomal RNA (253 nucleotides) under uncultured bacterium. Its description in RNAcentral is "partial 16S ribosomal RNA". It matches the Rfam family "Bacterial small subunit ribosomal RNA", at positions 524 to 776 of the family's 1533-position model. The record is from RNAcentral.